Molecule: ribosomal RNA, 301 nt
Filed under: uncultured bacterium
Lineage: Bacteria
Description: partial 16S ribosomal RNA
Rfam family: Bacterial small subunit ribosomal RNA
Source: RNAcentral
CAGUAGCCGCGGUAAUACGUAGGUGGCAAGCGUUGUCCGGAAUUAUUGGGCGUAAAGGGCUCGCAGGCGGUUUCUUAAGUCUGAUGUGAAAGCCCCCGGCUCAACCGGGGAGGGUCAUUGGAGACUGGGAAACUUGAGUGCAGAAGAGGAGAGUGGAAUUCCACGUGUAGCGGUGAAAUGCGUAGAGAUGUGGAGGAACACCAGUGGCGAAGGCGACUCUCUGGUCUGUAACUGACGCUGAGGAGCGAAAGCGUGGGGAGCGAACAGGAUUAGAUACCCCAGUAGUCCCUGUCUCUUAUAC